UACGUAGGGGGCAAGCGUUGUCCGGAUUUAUUGGGCGUAAAGAGCGUGUAGGCGGCCACACAGGUCUGCUGUGAAAACUCGAGGCUCAACCUCGAGCUGUCGGUGGAAACCGUGUGGCUAGAGUCCGGAAGAGGAGAGUGGAAUUCCUGGUGUAGCGGUGAAAUGCGCAGAUAUCAGGAGGAACACCGAUGCGAAGGCAGGUCUCUGGGCAUUAACUGACGCUGAGGAGCGAAAGCAUGGGGGAGCGAACAGG
RNAcentral lists this ribosomal RNA (253 nucleotides) under uncultured bacterium. Its description in RNAcentral is "partial 16S ribosomal RNA". It matches the Rfam family "Bacterial small subunit ribosomal RNA", at positions 524 to 776 of the family's 1533-position model. The record is from RNAcentral.